UGGGAACACAGAGUUUUGCAAGGGUUAAUGUUGAAAAAUUAUCCAUGCAUAUCUUUUGAAAAUUAAAAAGUUUUAAUUAAAAAAGGAAAUAAAUUAAUAUUCUAUCCAUAAGAAUAUAAUUUUUUUAGUCACAUAUUUUGUAAGACAUUUUGGAGUUUAAUGGCUGGAUUAAUUUUUUUUAUUUUUUUGAAAAGUUGGGGCAAGUUACUUUUUUGUCCUGUGCAAUUUUCAUUCAUGAUUUCUUAAAAUAUAGCUCUGAAAAAACAGGUUUUUCCCAUCAUUAUUCAAAUGGACAUACUUUGUUGUGUCUUUAAACCCAAAUCAUCCUGGCUUUUUUAAAAAUGGCCAAUAACAGCCUCCAUCCCAAACCUCUGUUGCUCAAUCUUUAGAUUUUGAUGGCUUAGGAGUAUAAAUGGCAAUUGUUUUCUGUUCUGACCAGAAAUUCUAAAGGUCUUUCCUUUUCAAAUUGAUACUUUUGUGAUGAUAAACUAGGUUGUCUUUUGUCACUUUUCUUAUUUAGCCCUUGGUUGUUGUCCUACCAAAAUAAUAUGAUUAUAUUAGACUCAAGUUACUAUCUGACUGUGGCUGAUAACAACAGUACAAAUUCAAAAUGCUCUACCACAGAUUGGGCACAAAUAAGUCAUGUGAACAUUUGUGUUGGAUUCUAAAUCUGUACAUCUCAUUUCUUUUUGAACUACUUUAGUUCUGCUUUGCUCAUAGAGCUGCAGCUACUGUAGCUCAGAACUCCCUGGCUCAAAACAUUGUGAGCAUUAAUCUUCCAAAAGCUGGUAUCAUAGGAAUGUCUGAUUAUGCCAGUUAUUCUCUAGUAUCUGACCAAAUUAUCCACCUACACAGCAAUGGCAAUCUUUUGGACUUCUGACAAAUAAAUCAUAUGGCUUUGAAAAUGUGGAAAGAGCCAAACUAUAAUAUUGAUUCUUUACUUGCAUACUUCAUCGAGUAUAGCACCAAUGUCUUCUAUAUCAUGAAAUCAACUCCAAAGUUCUUCAGAGAGACUUUAUUGCAAUAAUCAGACAAAAACUAAUCCAGUCAAUUGCACCAAUAAAAUUAGCUGAGAGGUGGUCAUGCAGCAGAAAGCAGGAAUGUUUAUACAAACUGUCUUGUGGCUGUAAAACAAUAAUACAUGUUACACAAACACUUGAUCAUGAUCAUUCCUGGGCUUUCUUCUUCUACAUAUAGCUUGACUAGAUUCCAAUUAAUUAUGCUCCAUCACAAAGUCAACUACAGAGUAGGGAUUAGAAAAAAAAAGUCACUGGAACAAAUAAAGAUUUGGACAGCAAAGUUCAGGAAAGUCAAAUAUGAAAAUGUUCAAUCUAGAGAAGAGAAGAUUGAGAAAAGACUUAGAAAUGAUCUUUAAUAUCCAAAAUAUUUUGUGAAGUUUAACUAACUUUAUUCUCUUUUCCCUGAGACAGAACAAGAUAAAAUAACCUUAAGGUGUGAUUCAGUUUAGGCAAGAUACAAAGAAGAGUCAAAUGUAACUUAGUGGAUAGAGAACUGGCCUCAAAUACAGGAAAGACCUGAAUUCAAGUCCUGACUGACAUAGACUACUGUAUGAGUUUAGCAGCUGCCUGCGUAUCCCACUGUAAGUCAUGAUGAAGUAAAUUGGAGCUCUAAAAACAGAUGUACUGAAGUGCUUCAAGAAGAUUCAAGCAAAUGAGACUCAGAAUUCACAUCUAUCUGUGAGAUUUUUCUGUACCUGAGGAUACAAUUCAUCUGGGCCAAGUAAUGAAAAUAAUUGUCAACAGCAGCACAACUCCAGUCAUCGGGAUCUCCAAAUACUCAAGGGCCACUAUAAAAGGCCAUAGAAUGGGAAUAGAAGACAAGAGGUGGCCAGUGUGAUUCUAAUUGCUGAUUGUGCAAAGAUGCCCUUGAUAAACCUGAUUACUUCAGCCUGUACUUGUUAAGGGACAGGGCCAAGGGAAGAGGUAAUGAGGAUAAGUAUUGAUGAAGUGCCUACUCUAUGCCAGGCAGUGAACUAAUUAUCUCCUUUAAACCUUAUAGCAACCCUGUGAGGUGUUAGAGUAAAUAUAAGGUUCUCUGCUUUGGGCUGAUGGUAAUUUGGAAGUGAAAACAUAGAGCAUAUAAAGCUGCAACAAACUCAGCCAGAGUCAGAGCCAGAGCUGGACUCAGAAGGGCUUGGAGAGAGACUCAGAAGGGCCAGACACAGACUCAGAAGGGACCCAGAGGCCGAUUCAUUCCAUCAUCCACCUUUGUUGUGGCUGGAGGCUGAAGCAUAAGCCCAGGGACUUAGAGACAGAUUCAUUCAUUUCAUCUCACAACACCGUGGACUAGCCUCCUGUACUUCUCCCACUGAGACCAAGGCCAAUCUGAAGGGCUCUCUAGAAAUCUGGCUCGGGGCUCAGGCAAGAAAACUAGAUUGUGAAAGAGAUAAUAAAGGAUUUGGACUUUAACAUCUGGCUAUUCUCCUGGUGAUUACCUCCAGAAAACAGAGCAAGAACAUCAUAUGUAUGUAUGUAUGUAUGUGUGUGUGUGUGCGUGUGUGUAUGUCAAAUCAAACUGAGAUUUGAAGAUAAAUAUUUGGUUAGAAAGAAGGGUGGGAGUUGAUUGAAUUAAGAAAUCAUUCUUCAUCCAAUAAAAUAACUUCCAAAUUUCUCUAUCCUUGAUAGCUUUUAUCAGUUCAUAAUAGCUUAAAUGAAUGAAUGAAUGAUUGAAUGAAGGGCAUUUCAAUCAAAUACUCCAAAGUUCAUAAUCAAUUUGGAAGAGGUGCAUUGCAUGAAAUAAAAAGAUGUUGCACAGGUGGUAUAUUCAGAUUGGCUGAAGAGAAUCAGUCAUGUCCUGUGAGUCAUGGAUAUAAAGUAGCAAGUCAGUUUUGACCUGAGCAAUUACAUAUCUGAUUACACUGGAGGAGAGAGCAGCUCCAGCUAAAUCCCCAAGUGGAAAUCAUUUGGAGAAAGUGCAAGGAGACAAUCAGGAUAAGCACUCUCCAAUUUGAUAAAAAAGAGAAGUAUUCUAUAAAGUUUGACUGGUUGAACAAUUUAAAUUUCUCAUUUGAAUCUUAGGCAAAAUGAUUGUGACAUCUUCACUGAAAAAAGGAAAAGCUAGGCACACUAUAAAAAGGUAUUUUUUAGAACUUUACAAGAAGCCCAAAAGAAAACUAUACCAUAAUCAAGAGGGAUUUUAUGAGAACUCCACAAAGAAGCAAAGGGAACUUGCAGCAAAAUGACUUUGAGGCUCUUUGGAAUAUAACUUUGACAAUCUUUAAGAUUGAUCUCACUUUUCCCUUGGCUUUUAUAUUCCCUUGUGGAGAGUGAGCCCUGAUUUUUUUGGGGGGAGGGAUCUUUUGUACCAAAUAUUCUUACUAUAAUAACUUAUUAAGUCCCUAUUUCUUAAAACUAAAUAAGUUCAGAUAAUCAAUAUGCUGAUAACCAAAAGGGAAAACACAACACUGGGGACUCCUGAACUAUGAUAGGAGAAAAACUACUUUAUUACCCCUAAAACUCUGAAGAAAGAAAUACCCAGCUACCCUCUGGGAAUUCCACCCACUUAUGCUAUUAGGAAUCAGGACAAAGCUUCAAUGUGUGUGUGUGUGUGUGUGUGUGUGUGUGUGUGUGUGUGUGUGUGUGUGUGUGUGUGUGAGAGAGAGAGAGAGAGAGAGAGAGAGAGAGAGAGAGAGAGAGAGAGAGAGAUUGCUAAUAUUAUUGAUUUUUUCUUUAUAUAAUGGGAAAACUUUGGAAGUUGCUGAGCAAGAAAGUGAGUGGACAGGGUAGCUAGGUGACGCAGUCAAUAGUAUACCAUUCCUAAAAUCAGGAAGACCUGAGCUCAAAUCUGACCUCAGACACUUCACACUUCCUAGUUGUGUGACCCUGGGCAAGUCACUUAACCCCAAUUGUCUCAUCAAAAAAAAAAAGAAAAAGAAAAAGAAAAAAAAGAGAGUGGAUCUAGCUAGUUUUGUUUGUUUGUUUUUACUCCAUAUACACAUGGUCAUAAUGUGUUUCUAUAUGUGCACACAUAUAUAUAUCACAUGUGCACAUAUCUAUGUAUAUUUAUGUGCAUAUGUGUGUUAUAUAUGUGUACUGUGUACCUUGUAUAGUACAUGGAAAGCAGGCCUUGUAAUUAGAAAGAAUUGGUUUCAAGUCCUACUUCAUGUUAUAGCUGAAUCACCUAAACUCUUAGGGCCCCAAAGAACUGCUCCCAUCAUUGGUGAAGCAAUCUCCAUGUAAUGAAUUUCCUCGUCACAAAUUUCCCACCUUGACAAAAUCAAAAUCCAAAUGUAAUAAAGAGUACAUACACAGAUAAAUGUGUAAUUUGACUUUAUCUUUUGUAUAUGUACAAUACAGCAUGCAAGCAUUGAGAAACACUUGAAGAAUGUUACUUUAAAUGCUUCUAUAGUGAGGGAAAUUAUGGGGGCAUUAUUACAUUACUAUUUAAUGAGAUAAGAAGCUGAUAAUUUAAUAGACCACAAAAAGUAUGUUAUAGCUUUAAGAAAACUAGAAGGUUGCCUUUCUUAAUGUAUCCUGAGUCAAUAUUUAGAUUUAAAUAUAUAUUCUAUUUAGCAUGACUGACAGUCUUAUUUCUAAAAGAAAAAUGCUGCUUAAAACAGAAGGAGAUAGAAUGGAAAAGGGAAUGAAACAAACAAGCAAACAAACAAACAAAAAAAACAGGUAACUGUUGGUGAGUUACCACCUGCUGUGGGAAUAUGAGCUAUCUGGCCAGGUUUACACAGGUGCAGAUACAUGGAUAAUUCCUUUUUAAAAAAUCUUCCUCUACCUUAAUUUUAUUUCUAUUAUUGAAUAUAAAGCCCAGGUUUAUUCCUGAAUUAUAUAGCAAGCCCAUUCAUUAGACAUUUGCCAAUCCUAUACUUUGCACUAUGUGAACUUGGCUUCAGACAAAGAGGUGAUAUCUCAAAAUUCUGCCAUGCUGAUAACUCUAACAUGUUAUCUCUAGCAUGUAUCUACUGCAAAGUAACUUUAAAGAGGAGCUGAAAACUUGUUCUUGCUUACUCCCUCACUUCUCCUACUCUGUCAUCUACAUAAUUUUUUUGUCUCCACUGCUUUUCUCUAGCCCCAAAUCUUAAAAAUUUGGAGUCUCAGGGAGAAGGAGCUGCAUUAUCUCAAAUGCUAUAAUUUAAUGGCAUAUGAUAUAAUUUUACACAGCCCAAGACCUAUCACACUUAUUGGUAAUGUAAUGAAAAGAUGUUUUCCCUCCUUUGGGACAG
This 5194-nucleotide long non-coding RNA is filed under the name Sarcophilus harrisii (Tasmanian devil). Its description in RNAcentral is "lncRNA (ENSSHAG00000021235.1)". The record is from RNAcentral. Lineage: Eukaryota; Metazoa; Chordata; Mammalia; Dasyuromorphia; Dasyuridae.